UUGCUCAGGAUGAACGCUGGCGGCGUGCUUAACACAUGCAAGUCGAACGAGGGACAGAAGACGAGAUCUUCGGAUUAAAUUGACUGUUUCGAGUGGCGGACGGGUGAGUAACGCGUGGGGAACCUGCCUUAUACUGAGGGACAACAGCUGGAAACGGCUGCUAAUACCUCAUAUGCGCACAGGAAGGCAUCUUCCGGUGUGGAAAGAAAUUCGGUAUAAGAUGGCCCCGCGUCUGAUUAGGCAGUUGGUGAGAUAACAGCCCACCAAACCGACGAUCAGUAGCCGACCUGAGAGGGCGAACGGCCACAUUGGGACUGAGACACGGCCCAGACUCCUACGGGAGGCAGCAGUGGGGAAUA
This 359-nucleotide ribosomal RNA is filed under the name uncultured rumen bacterium. Its description in RNAcentral is "bacterial SSU rRNA". It matches the Rfam family "Bacterial small subunit ribosomal RNA", at positions 20 to 363 of the family's 1533-position model. The record is from RNAcentral.